GACGAACGCUGGCGGCGUGCUUAACACAUGCAAGUCGAACGGAAAGGCCUGCUUUCCCUUGUGGAUUGCGGGUACUCGAGUGGCGAACGGGUGAGUAACACGUGAGUGAUCUGCCCCCAACUUGGGUAUAAGCCUGGGAAACUGGGUUUAAUUCCCGAUAGGACUGCAGGGUGGUGCCUGUGGUGGAAAACGAUUUUCUAGUGGUUGGGGAUGAGCUCGCGGCCUAUCAGCUUGUUGGUGGGGUAAUGGCCUACCAAGGCGGCGACGGGUAGCCGGCCUGAGAGGGUGGACGGCCACAUUGGGACUGAGAUACGGCCCAGACUCCUACGGGAGGCAGCAGUGGGGAAUAUUGCACAAUGGGCGGAAGCCUGAUGCAGCGACGCCGCGUGGGGGAUGACGGCCUUCGGGUUGUAAACUCCUUUCGACCGCGAGGAAGCCACCUGGUUGGAAGGGUGGUGACGGUAGUGGUAGAAGAAGCACCGGCUAACUACGUG
Molecule: ribosomal RNA, 494 nt
Filed under: uncultured bacterium
Lineage: Bacteria
Description: partial 16S ribosomal RNA
Rfam family: Bacterial small subunit ribosomal RNA
Source: RNAcentral